UUAGACCUCAAAUCAGGUAGGAUUACCCGCUGAACUUAAGCA
This 42-nucleotide ribosomal RNA is filed under the name uncultured fungus. RNAcentral's name for it is "partial 28S ribosomal RNA". The record is from RNAcentral. Lineage: Eukaryota; Fungi.